CGCUUUUGGCCCAGAUAACGCCAGUUAAGUCAAAAGAAUGAAAGAGCUUGCAGGCGAAAAAGUCUGUAUUCCACUCGUUUAAUGGCAGGUACACAGGAACGCGCUCCUCACAUGCAUGAGAGAUUGACUCUUUCUUAGCGUUACAAAUAAAAAUAAAGCAAUACUAUAACAAAAAUUGGAGAGCACAUACAUCUAUCGUGGUUCUCAUUACACAGUCACGUAGUUCUUCUACGUCAUCACCGCAUAGCGCACGUUAAGUGAAGUGAUCAGUCUCUUAAAGGGCACAGCACACCAUAAUGUGAUGCAUGUAAACACACAGUUUUGGCUGUUACAGAUUCCCCACUGGAAAGAAAAAGGCUCACACUCUGCAAAGACACAUCACAUAGAAAACAAAAGCUUGUGUAACCAAACCAUACGUGUAAAAUAACAGUUUCCUUUUCGUUUUUUUUUCAACAAGAUAACAUGAAAACACAUGAACUUA
Molecule: long non-coding RNA, 481 nt
Organism: Megalobrama amblycephala (Wuchang bream)
Lineage: Eukaryota; Metazoa; Chordata; Actinopteri; Cypriniformes; Xenocyprididae
Exons: 2
Source: RefSeq, a predicted model, not a curated record